Molecule: ribosomal RNA, 253 nt
Filed under: uncultured bacterium
Lineage: Bacteria
Description: partial 16S ribosomal RNA
Rfam family: Bacterial small subunit ribosomal RNA
Source: RNAcentral
UACGUAGGGUGCAAGCGUUAAUCGGAAUUACUGGGCGUAAAGCGUGCGCAGGCGGUGAUGUAAGACAGUUGUGAAAUCCCCGGGCUCAACCUGGGAACUGCAUCUGUGACUGCAUCGCUGGAGUGCGGCAGAGGGGGAUGGGAUUCCGCGUGUAGCAGUGAAAUGCGUAGAUAUGCGGAGGAACACCGAUGGCGAAGGCAAUCCCCUGGGCCUGCACUGACGCUCAUGCACGAAAGCGUGGGGAGCAAACAGG